This is a long non-coding RNA of Ictalurus punctatus (channel catfish), 931 nucleotides long. The record is from Ensembl. Lineage: Eukaryota; Metazoa; Chordata; Actinopteri; Siluriformes; Ictaluridae.
GUGCUGUAAGCUUUUUAUUUGGAUCAGUGUUUUCAUGGCCUCUGCACAACAUCCUGUUUUGGGAUAAAGGUUGGACACAGGUUUGAAGGGGACCCAAUCAAUCAAUCAAUCAGUCAGUCAGUCAGUCAGUCAGUCAGUCUUUUGAUUACACUAUUUAAAUAGCCCCCAUUUGGGGUCAGCUUUCGCUUACGGCCAUACCACUCUGAAAAAGCCUGAUCUCAUCUGACCUCGGAAGCAAAGCAGAGUUGGGCCUGGUUAGUACUUGGUUGGGAGACUGAAUGGGAAUACUAGGUGCUGUAAGCUUUUUAUUUGGAUCAGUGUUUUCAUGGCCUCUGCACAACAUCCUGUUUUGGGAUAAAGGUUGGACACAGGUUUGAAGGGGACCCAAUCAAUCAAUCAUCAAUCAAUCAGUCAGUCAGUCAGUCAGUCAGUCAGUCAGUCUUUUGAUUACACUAUUUAAAUAGCCCCCAUUUGGGGUCAGCUUUCGCUUACGGCCAUACCACUCUGAAAAAGCCUGAUCUCAUCUGACCUCGGAAGCAAAGCAGAGUUGGGCCUGGUUAGUACUUGGUUGGGAGACUGAAUGGGAAUACUAGGUGCUGUAAGCUUUUUAUUUGGAUCAGUGUUUUCAUGGCCUCUGCACAACAUCCUGUUUUGGGAUAAAGGUUGGACACAGGUUUGAAGGGGACCCAAUCAAUCAAUCAAUCAAUCAGUCAGUCAGUCAGUCAGUCAGUCAGUCUUUUGAUUACACUAUUUAAAUAGCCCCAUUUGGGGUCAGCUUUCGCUUACGGCCAUACCACUCUGAAAAAGCCUGAUCUCAUCUGACCUCGGAAGCAAAGCAGAGUUGGGCCUGGUUAGUACUUGGUUGGGAGACUGAAUGGGAAUACUAGGUGCUGUAAGCUUUUUAUUUGGAUCAGUGUUUCAUGGCCUCUGC